This 266-nucleotide ribosomal RNA is filed under the name uncultured bacterium. Its description in RNAcentral is "partial 16S ribosomal RNA". It matches the Rfam family "Bacterial small subunit ribosomal RNA", at positions 793 to 1055 of the family's 1533-position model. The record is from RNAcentral.
GUCCACGCUGUAAACGAUGAGUGCUAGAUGUUGGUGGAGGAAUUCAUCAGUGUCGCAGCUAACGCAUUAAGCACUCCGCCUGGGGAGUACGGUCGCAAGAUUAAAACUCAAAGGAAUUGACGGGGGCUCGAACAAGCGGUGGAGUAUGUGGUUUAAUUCGAAGCAACGCGAAAAACCUUACCAGCUCUUGACAUGGGAAUUAUGGAGACCGGAGACGGUUUCCUUCGGUUCGGCCGGGUUCCACACAGGUGCUGCAUGGCUGUCGU